CUCAGAUUUGAUCCUUGGGUCAGAAAGACCCUCUAGAGAAGGAAACGGCAACCCACUCCAGAUUCUUGCCUGAGGAAUCCCAUAGACAGAGGAGCCUGGCAGUCUAUGUACGGGGUUGCAAAAGUCACAGGUGAAUGACUCAAGAGAAAUGCCAAGGCUGAGAGUGGCACUCUCAUUUGCUGGGUCAGUUUCAGACGAUCGUACCUGAGGAAGCAUGAACAUCACUGAAUUAACAAGAAUGGAGUGGUUAAGGUCACAGGAUGGCUGCUGGAGCCCUAACCAUCAUGUACAAGUUCUGGACAUUGCAAAAAAGAGAAGCAGGGAAGGCAUAAUUUCUCUUUUGGAUCGCAAUCCUGAGGCUAGCAGUUGUGGCUUCAAGUGUUUGGAAUUCAACGUUGGCCCAGCACCAGGAUACACCCUAGCAUUCUCUAUAAUUUUUAUUUUAGCUGUUACAG
Molecule: long non-coding RNA, 455 nt
Organism: Ovis aries (sheep)
Lineage: Eukaryota; Metazoa; Chordata; Mammalia; Artiodactyla; Bovidae
Source: Ensembl